GGGUAACGGAGAAUUAGGGUUUGAUUCCGGAGAAGGAGCCUGAGAAACGGCUACUACUUCCAAGGAAGGCAGCAGGCGCGCAAAUUACCCACUCCUAAUUCAGGGAGGUAGUGACAAUAAAUAACGAUGUAGGACCCUCACGGGUGCUACAAUUGGAAUGAGUACAAUCUAAACCUCUUAACGAGUAACCAUUAGAGGACAAGUCUGGUGCCAGCACCCGCGGUAAUUCCAGCUCUAAUAGCGUAUAUUAAAGUUGUUGCGGUUAAAAAGCUCGUAGUUGAAUUUAAGGGUGGAAAAUCUCCGUCAAAAGAGACCAAGUAAGCGUCUGAUUCUGGGGUUUUUGUGGAACUACAAGGGAAAGGGUGGUAUUGUAGGGCUUGCUCUGCAGUGCUGCUCGAUAUCUUGUAGGUCUGCUCCUCGGGAUCGGCUUACCCACCCUUCGCUUUCCCUGUCAUAGUCAGAUUCUAUAUUAAAAUAAAGGUGCCAUUUUCUGUUUAUCUUUCGGGGUAGGCAGUUAGUGGUUACCCAUUAAUGUAGGGUCGUGGUUGGGGUUUCUCAACCAGCUUUGACAGGAGUUUACUUUGAGUAAAUUAGAGUGUUCAAAGCAGACAAAUUUAUCAGUCAUUGAAUAUUUUAGCAUGGGAUAAUAGAACAGGGCCUUUUUUCUUCUGUUUAUGGUUUCUGAGAAAUGAGGUAAUGAUUAAUAGGGACAAUUGGGGGCAUUAGUAUUUAAUUGUCAGAGGUGAAAUUCUUGGAUUUAUUAAAGACUAACCACUGCGAAAGCAUUUGCCAAGGAUGUUUUCAUUAAUCAAGAACGAAAGUUAGGGGAUCGAAGACGAUCAGAUACCGUCGUAGUCUUAACCAUAAAUGUGCCGACCAAGGAUUGGUAGAUGUUUAUCAAAAAAAAUUGACUCCCUCAGAACUUUGUGAGAAAUCACAAGUAUUUGGGUUCCGGGGGGAGUAUGGUCGCAAGGCUGAAACUUAAAGGAAUUGACGGAAGGGCACCACCAGGAGUGGAGCCUGCGGCUUAAUUUGAC
RNAcentral lists this ribosomal RNA (1037 nucleotides) under uncultured soil eukaryote. Its description in RNAcentral is "SSU rRNA". It matches the Rfam family "Eukaryotic small subunit ribosomal RNA", at positions 357 to 1199 of the family's 1831-position model. The record is from RNAcentral.